Molecule: long non-coding RNA, 293 nt
Filed under: Fukomys damarensis (Damara mole-rat)
Lineage: Eukaryota; Metazoa; Chordata; Mammalia; Rodentia; Bathyergidae
Description: lncRNA (ENSFDAG00000030262.1)
Source: RNAcentral
AGCAGCUUUGGCUAAUACACUCGGCUGCAGGCCACUGCGGAGAUAUGGCCAGACAGCUACAGAGAGAAGUGCACUCCCAGACGUUGCUGGGACAUGACUUGCAGACUGGGCAGCUCUGGAUCUGUAGCGCUGUGGAUCUGGCACUCAUAGUUUAUCCAAGUGGAAGUGGAACUGAAGUAGAUAUUACUCGAUUAAAGAGAAGAGGAAAUGGGAGCAGAAGGGAGGUACAUGAAUCCACAGCACCCAUAUUGAAGGGAGCAACUGUGCAAGCAAGGAGACGAAUCAUGAUGUGA